This 407-nucleotide ribosomal RNA is filed under the name Aplysia depilans. RNAcentral's name for it is "partial 28S ribosomal RNA". The record is from RNAcentral. Lineage: Eukaryota; Metazoa; Mollusca; Gastropoda; Aplysiida; Aplysiidae.
UCAGAGGUAAACGGGUGGAUCCGCAGAGUCGGCCCGCGGAACUCAGCUCGGCGCGCGGCCUGGGGCGUUGCGGUUCGGGAUCCCUAGUGACCCGGCCGCGGCGCUUCGCCGGGCUCCGCCGUGUGCACUUUCCGCGGGCAGAGCGCCACGACCGGUCUCGGGGCGGCUACAAGCUUCCGGGGAAGGUAGGCGUGAGCGGCAACGCUCGCGCUGUUACAGCCCCGGUUGUCCAGCCGCCCGCGGGACCGAGGAACGACCGCGUCGGCCUUUGUGGCUACCCGGCCAUCCGGGGGAGUUCGACUGGUGGGGACUGGGCAACCGUGCCCGCCGACCGCUCCUCCGCGACGGCCCGGGCUAGCCGGGGUCUCGCGCUGAGGGUCAGUAGGCGAAUNUNCGGCCUUCCACCC